RNAcentral lists this ribosomal RNA (246 nucleotides) under uncultured bacterium. Its description in RNAcentral is "partial small subunit ribosomal RNA". It matches the Rfam family "Bacterial small subunit ribosomal RNA", at positions 26 to 285 of the family's 1533-position model. The record is from RNAcentral.
AGGAUCAACGCUGGCGGCGUGCCUAACACAUGCAAGUCGAACGAGAAAGUGGAGCAAUCCAUGAGUAAAGUGGCGCACGGGUGAGUAACACGUGACUAACCUACCCUUGAGUGGGGGAUAAACCUAGAGAAAUCUGGGCUAAUACCGCAUAAUACCUUCGGGUCAAAGGAGCAAUUCGCUUAAGGAGGGGGUCGCGGCCGAUUAGUUAGUUGGCGGGGUAAUGGCCCACCAAGACUGUGAUCGGUA